This 407-nucleotide ribosomal RNA is filed under the name uncultured bacterium. Its description in RNAcentral is "partial 16S ribosomal RNA". It matches the Rfam family "Bacterial small subunit ribosomal RNA", at positions 30 to 526 of the family's 1533-position model. The record is from RNAcentral.
AUUGAACGCUGGCGGCAGGCCUAACACAUGCAAGUCGAGCGGAGCGGCGGACGGGUGAGUAAUGCCUAGGAAUCUGCCUGGUAGUGGGGGAUAACGUCCGGAAACGGGCGCUAAUACCGCAUACUAGCAGAUGAGCCUAGGUCGGAUUAGCUUGUUGGUGGGGUAAAGGCCUACCAAGGCGACGAUCCGUAACUGGUCUGGGAGGAUGAUCAGUCACACUGGAACGGGGAAACGGUCCGGACGCCUACGGGAGGCAGUAGUGGGGAAUAUUGGACAAGGGGCGAAAUCCUGAUCCAGACAUGCCGCGUGGGUGAAGAAGGUUUUCGGAUUGUAAAGCACUUUAAGUUGGGAGGCGUUACCAACAGAAUAAGCACCGGCUAACUUCGUGCCAGCAGCCGCGGUAAUAC